Molecule: transfer RNA, 66 nt
Filed under: Petaurista alborufus (red and white giant flying squirrel)
Lineage: Eukaryota; Metazoa; Chordata; Mammalia; Rodentia; Sciuridae
Also listed under: 1 other name
Description: tRNA-Trp
Source: RNAcentral
AGGAGUUUAGGUUACACAGACCAAGGGCCUUCAAAGCCCUAAGCAAAUAAUUUUAUUUAACUCCUG